RNAcentral lists this ribosomal RNA (782 nucleotides) under Staphylococcus sp. sh_35. Its description in RNAcentral is "partial 16S ribosomal RNA". It matches the Rfam family "Bacterial small subunit ribosomal RNA", at positions 688 to 1466 of the family's 1533-position model. Lineage: Bacteria; Bacillati; Bacillota; Bacilli; Caryophanales; Staphylococcaceae. The record is from RNAcentral.
UCGCAAAGAUAUGGAGGAACACCAGUUGCGAAGGCGGNUUUUUUCGUCCGUUAUUGACGCUGAUGUGCGAANGCGNGGGGAUCAANCAGGAUUAGNUACCGUGGUNNUCCNCGUCNUAAACGAUGANUNCUAAGUGUNAGGGGGUUUCCGCCCCUUAGUGCGGCAGCUAANNCAUUAAGCACUNCGCCUGGGGAGUACGACCGCAAGGUUGAAACUCAAAGGAAUUGACGGGGACCCGCACAAGCGGUGGAGCAUGUGGUUUAAUUNGAAGCAACGCGAAGAACCUUANCAAAUCUUGACAUCCUUUGACCGCUCUAGAGAUAGAGUCUUCCCCUUCGGGGGACAAAGUGACAGGUGGUGCAUGGUUGUCGUCAGCUCGUGUCGUGAGAUGUUGGGUUAAGUCCCGCAACGAGCGCAACCCUUAAGCUUAGUUGCCAUCAUUAAGUUGGGCACUNUAAGUUGACUGCCGGUGACAAACCGGAGGAAGGUGGGGAUGACGUCAAAUCAUCAUGCCCCUUAUGAUUUGGGCUACACACGUGCUACAAUGGACAAUACAAAGGGCAGCUAAACCGCGAGGUCAAGCAAAUCCCAUAAAGUUGUUCUCAGUUCGGAUUGUAGUCUGCAACUCGACUACAUGAAGCUGGAAUCGCUAGUAAUCGUAGAUCAGCAUGCUACGGUGAAUACGUUCCCGGGUCUUGUACACACCGCCCGUCACACCACGAGAGUUUGUAACACCCGAAGCCGGUGGAGUAACCAUUUAUGGAGCUAGCCUCGAAUGUGAC